AAGUCGUAACAAGGUUUCCGUAGGUGAACCUGCGGAAGGAUCAUUGUUGAUGCCUAUCAAAACAAGACAGACCAAAGCGAACUUGUGAACCCUCGUUAUUGGCCCGCACGUCGGGGCGGCGCCCAGCACGUGUCGGGCAACAACGAACCAAAUCUCGGCGCAGCACGCGCCAAGGAACUUAGAAAGCUUUGAUUGCGGCAUCCUCUUCCCUAUCGGGCUGGAGGGACGCAUCGAACACUUACAAGUCAAUACGACUCUCGGCAACGGAUAUCUCGGCUCUC
Molecule: unclassified non-coding RNA, 281 nt
Filed under: air metagenome
Description: partial contains small subunit ribosomal RNA, internal transcribed spacer 1, and 5.8S ribosomal RNA
Rfam family: Eukaryotic small subunit ribosomal RNA (bases 1-46)
Source: RNAcentral